UAGAAGGAUGAUCAUGGCUCAGAUUGAACGCUGGCGGCAUGCCUAACACAUGCAAGUCGAACGGAAACGAUGCUAGCUUGCUAGCAGGCGUCGAGUGGCGGACGGGUGAGUAACGCGUAGGAACCUACCUAGUAGUUUGGGAUAGCCCAGAGAAAUUUGGAUUAAUACCGGAUACGCCCUACGGGGGAAAGUGGAGGAUCUUCGGACUUCACGCUAUUAGAUGGGCCUGCGUAAGAUUAGCUAGUUGGUGAGGUAAUGGCUCACCAAGGCAACGAUCUUUAGCUGGUUUGAGAGGAUGAUCAGCCACACUGGGACUGAGACACGGCCCAGACUCCUACGGGAGGCAGCAGUGGGGAAUAUUGCACAAUGGGCGCAACCCUGAUCCAGCCAUGCCGCGUGUGUGAAGAAGGCCUUAGGGUUGUAAAGCACUUUCAGUAGGGAGGAAAAGUUAGUCGUUAAUAACGGCUAACCCUGACGUUACCUACAGAAGAAGCACCGGCAAACUCCGUGCCAGCAGCCGCGGUAAUACGGAGGGUGCGAGCGUUAAUCGGAAUUACUGGGCGUAAAGCGCGCGUAGGCGGCUUGAUAAGUUGGAUGUGAAAGCCCUGGGCUCAACCUAGGAACUGCAUUCAAAACUGUCAGGCUAGAGUAUGGUAGAGGAUAGUGGAAUUUCCGGUGUAGCGGUGAAAUGCGUAGAGAUCGGAAGGAACACCGGUGGCGAAGGCGGCCCCCUGGAUUGAUACUGACACUGAGGUGCGAAAGCGUGGGUAGCAAACAGGAUUAGAUACCCUGGUAGUCCACGCCGUAAACGAUGUCUACUAGCCGUUGGAAUCCUUAGAGGUUUUAGUGGCGCAGCUAACGCAAUAAGUAGACCGCCUGGGGAGUACGGCCGCAAGGCUAAAACUCAAAUGAAUUGACGGGGGCCCGCACAAGCGGUGGAGCAUGUGGUUUAAUUCGACGCAACGCGAAGAACCUUACCUACUCUUGACAUCCUCGGAACUCGGCAGAGAUGCCUUGGUGCCUUCGGGAACCGAGUGACAGGUGCUGCAUGGCUGUCGUCAGCUCGUGUCGUGAGAUGUUGGGUUAAGUCCCGUAACGAGCGCAACCCUUGUCCUUAUUUGCCAGCACGUAAUGGUGGGAACUCUAAGGAGACUGCCGGUGACAAACCGGAGGAAGGUGGGGACGACGUCAAGUCAUCAUGGCCCUUACGAGUAGGGCUACACACGUGCUACAAUGGCCGGUACAGAGGGCUGCGAAGUCGCGAGAGUAAGCAGAUCCCUUAAAGCUCAUCGUAGUCCGGAUCGGAGUCUGCAACUCGACUCCGUGAAGUCGGAAUCGCUAGUAAUCGCAAAUCAGAAUGUUGCGGUGAAUACGUUCCCGGGCCUUGUACACACCGCCCGUCACACCAUGGGAGUGGGUUGCAAAAGAAGUAGCUAGUCUAACUACGGAGUGCGCUUACCACGGUGUGGUUCAUGACUGGGGUGAACUCGGAACAAGGUAGCCGUAGGGGAACCUGCGGCUGGAUCACCUCCUUA
This 1535-nucleotide ribosomal RNA is filed under the name uncultured prokaryote. RNAcentral describes it as "partial 16S ribosomal RNA". It matches the Rfam family "Bacterial small subunit ribosomal RNA". The record is from RNAcentral.